This 435-nucleotide ribosomal RNA is filed under the name uncultured bacterium. RNAcentral describes it as "bacterial SSU rRNA". It matches the Rfam family "Bacterial small subunit ribosomal RNA", at positions 957 to 1391 of the family's 1533-position model. The record is from RNAcentral.
GAACGCGAAGAACCUUACCAGGUCUUGACAUUGAUGGACAGAACUAGAGAUAGUUCCUCUUCUUCGGAAGCCAGAAAACAGGUGGUGCACGGUUGUCGUCAGCUUGUGUCGUGAGAUGUUGGGUUAAGUCCCGCAACGAGCGCAACCCCUAUCUUAUGUUGCCAGCACUUCGGGUGGGAACUCAUGAGAGACUGCCGCAGACAAUGCGGAGGAAGGCGGGGAUGACGUCAAAUCAUCAUGCCCCUUAUGACCUGGGCUACACACGUACUACAAUGGGAGUUAAUAGACGGAAGCAAUACCGCGAGGUGGAGCAAACCCGAGAAACACUCUCUCAGUUCGGAUCGUAGGCUGCAACUCGCCUACGUGAAGUCGGAAUCGCUAGUAAUCGUGGAUCAGCACGCCACGGUGAAUACGUUCCCGGGUCUUGUACACACC